RNAcentral lists this ribosomal RNA (163 nucleotides) under uncultured Prevotella sp. RNAcentral's name for it is "partial 16S ribosomal RNA". It matches the Rfam family "Bacterial small subunit ribosomal RNA", at positions 614 to 776 of the family's 1533-position model. Lineage: Bacteria; Pseudomonadati; Bacteroidota; Bacteroidia; Bacteroidales; Prevotellaceae. The record is from RNAcentral.
CCAUGCAUUGCCGUUGAAACUGGCGAUCUUGAGUGCAGGCAGGGAUGCCGGAAUUCGUGGUGUAGCGGUGAAAUGCUUAGAUAUCACGAAGAACUCCGAUCGCGAAGGCAGGUGUCCGGGCUGCAACUGACGCUGAGGCUCGAAAGUGUGGGUAUCAAAAAGG